Molecule: ribosomal RNA, 817 nt
Filed under: Cantharellus velutinus
Lineage: Eukaryota; Fungi; Basidiomycota; Agaricomycetes; Cantharellales; Hydnaceae
Description: partial large subunit ribosomal RNA
Rfam family: Eukaryotic large subunit ribosomal RNA
Source: RNAcentral
ACUGCGAGUGAAGAGGGAAGAGCUCAUCAUUGGAAUCUGGCAGUGUUGCACUGUCCGAGUUGUAGAUGAGGAGUAGUUCAUCUGGACUGCAUGGCGUCCAAGUACAAUAGGCCGUCAGUGGGACAUCAUAGAGGGUGACAAUCCCGUCCUUGAUGCCAAUGUGCAAGUCCAUUACGAUGACUAUCUCAGAGAGUCGAGCAGUUUGGGAUUUGCUGCUUAAACAUGGGAGGUAGAUUCCUUCUAAAGCUAAAUACAGGCGAGAGACCGAUAGAGAACAAGUACCGCAAGGGAAAGAUGAAAUAGCACUCUGUGAAGGGAGUCAAAAGGCGUGAAAUUGUUGCGAGAGAAGCGAUUCAAGUCAGCGUAGCUAGGCCCAUCAAGCCUAUUGCUUUGGACUAGCUUUGCCAGCGGUCUUGUCCUUAGAGACUUGACUUGUAUGUCCAGCCUGGUAUGCACAGGUAGCCCCCCUUGGGGGUCAGUGACAUGGCUGGUGGAAUGGCUUGCAAUCGACCCGUCUUGAAACACGGACCAAGGAGUCUAACAUGUAUGCGAGUAUAAGGGUGGCAAACCCGUAUGCGCAAUGAAAGUGAUUUUCGAUGAUUGAGAAUGGCCUGAUGACCAGACAAGCAAUACAUGUCCCUCGUACGGCCAUUGCCCAAGUUCCGUGGUAGAUCCCAUGAACAUGGAGUUGGAGCAUACAUGCUAGGACCCGAAAGAUGGUGAACUAUGCCUGGACAAAGCGAAGCCAAAGGAAACUCUGGUGGAGGCUUGUAGCGAUUCUGACGUGCAAAUCGAUCGUCUGAUCUGGGUAUAGGGG